AGGCAGCUUGGGACUGGAAGAAGGACCUUCGAAAUUUGGCCUCAGAGAACACCAAUAGGCAGCUUGGGACUGGAAGAAGGACCUUGGAAAUUUGGCCUCAGAGAACACAAAUAGAAGGUACUCCUUAUUUCGCGGGCAGCUUGGGACUGGAAGAAGGACCUUCGAAAUUUGGCCUCAGAGAACACCAA
Ornithodoros turicata is the source of this 188-nucleotide long non-coding RNA. RefSeq lists it as uncharacterized. The transcript has 3 exons. Lineage: Eukaryota; Metazoa; Arthropoda; Arachnida; Ixodida; Argasidae. The record is from RefSeq and is a predicted model, not a curated record.